GCAAGUCGAACGAUGAAGCCCAGCUUGCUGGGUGGAUUAGUGGCGAACGGGUGAGUAACACGUGAGUAACCUGCCCUUAACUCUGGGAUAAGCCUGGGAAACUGGGUCUAAUACCGGAUAGGAGCGUCCACCGCAUGGUGGGUGUUGGAAAGAUUUAUCGGUUUUGGAUGGACUCGCGGCCUAUCAGCUUGUUGGUGAGGUAAUGGCUCACCAAGGCGACGACGGGUAGCCGGCCUGAGAGGGUGACCGGCCACACUGGGACUGAGACACGGCCCAGACUCCUACGGGAGGCAGCAGUGGGGAAUAUUGCACAAUGGGCGCAAGCCUGAUGCAGCGACGCCGCGUGAGGGAUGACGGCCUUCGGGUUGUAAACCUCUUUCAGUAGGGAAGAAGCGAAAGUGACGGUACCUGCAGAAGAAGCACCGGCUAACUACGUGCCAGCAGCCGCGGUAAUACGUAGGGUGCGAGCGUUAUCCGGAAUUAUUGGGCGUAAAGAGCUCGUAGGCGGUUUGUCGCGUCUGUCGUGAAAGUCCGGGGCUUAACCCCGGAUCUGCGGUGGGUACGGGCAGACUAGAGUGCAGUAGGGGAGACUGGAAUUCCUGGUGUAGCGGUGGAAUGCGCAGAUAUCAGGAGGAACACCGAUGGCGAAGGCAGGUCUCUGGGCUGUAACUGACGCUGAGGAGCGAAAGCAUGGGGAGCGAACAGGAUUAGAUAUCCUGGUAGUCCAU
This 728-nucleotide ribosomal RNA is filed under the name Micrococcus sp. YIM226. RNAcentral's name for it is "bacterial SSU rRNA". It matches the Rfam family "Bacterial small subunit ribosomal RNA", at positions 57 to 798 of the family's 1533-position model. The record is from RNAcentral. Lineage: Bacteria; Bacillati; Actinomycetota; Actinomycetes; Micrococcales; Micrococcaceae.